This is a long non-coding RNA of Bos taurus (domestic cattle), 2893 nucleotides long. The record is from Ensembl. Lineage: Eukaryota; Metazoa; Chordata; Mammalia; Artiodactyla; Bovidae.
CACGGUUAGGCAAACUUGUGGUGCCAUUUGUAGCUCAGGUUUUUAUGUUGGGUUAAACGGAGGCUGCUGCUGCUAAGUCACUUCAGUCGUGUCCGACUCUGUGUGACCCCAUAGAUGGCAACCCACCAGGCUCCCCUGUCCCUGGGAUUCUCCAGGCAAGAACGCAGGAGUGGGUUGCCAUUUCCUUCUCCAAUGCAUGAAAGUGAAAAGUGAAAGGGAAGUCGCUCAGUCGUGUCUGACUCUUCGCGACCCCAUGGACUGCAGCCCACCAGGCUCCUCCGUCCAUGGGAUUCUCCAGGCAAGAGUUCUGGAGUGGGGUGCCAUUGCCUUCUCCCUAAACGGAGGCUGGUUUUUUAGCAGAAACUGCAUCUUUCCUAAGCUUCUUCAUCCCCUCUCUUGUCUUUCUCACACCAGCGAUACUGUCUCAAACUCAAGCUCUGCUGUUCGGGAACCUGACCUUACGCCUAAAACGGGGGGUGGUAAGUGCUUUUAAGGGUGUGUGUAGGGUGUGUAGGUGAGGUCUGAGUGGCCCAGUGGGUAAAGAAUACCCCUGCAAUGCAGAAAACACAGGAGACAUGGGUUAGAUUCCUGGAUUGAGAAGAUCCCCUGGAGGGGGGCAUGGCAAUCCACUCUAGUAUUCUUGGCAGGAAAAUUCCAUGGACAGAGGAGCCUGGCGGGCUGUAGUCCAUAAGGCUGCAAAGGCCACUGAGCACACACACACAUGUAGGUGAGAAAGGUUAUGAUGUAAAAUAGGGUUUUAAAGGUUUGAGCGCUUCUGCUCCAGAAUCUUGUAAAUGUUCAUGCGCAAGGAGAUAGGGACAAGAGUGUCUGUUGUGAAAACUCGAGUGUAAUCUGCUACCAGUAAGAGGACAGAUAAACCAUGUGUGAAAAUAGCAAACCCCUUGCUCAUGUUCACCUUAGUCCACAAAGGACUAAAGGUUGAGGAAACUUGGGAAGUUUCAGCCUUUACAAGGUGGGUGGGGGCACUGGGUGAUUCUGAUAUUUUUUAUGCUUCUCUUUUCUACACUUCUCUCUUUAUUUGAAAUAUUUAAUGAGCGAGAUAAAAGCCCUGAUCCUCACUUACUUGCCCACUCACCUUCUCUUACACACCCCCAUGGAUAAAUGAGGAAGCAAUGUGUUUCCCACUCUUUGAUAAAUUAUGUAAGUUAAGUUUCUCUUGUUCUUUAUUCUAAGGAUACACAGGAGAACUAGGUUAUACGGAGGCUCAAUAAACUCCUGGUCUUUACAAUCAGCUGGUACUCCCAAUUGCCAUGGGGCUGGGGUUAUUGUUUAAUUGUGGUUCUUGUUUACUCAAGUCUUUCAUGAAGUAAGAAAAAUAUGUAGGAAGGAGGGAAGGAGAAUUGGAAGGAGAAAGUCAAGUGAGAAGGCAAAAGAAACUGUGAAUCUCAUAGUUUCAGUGUAAACGCUGUGGUUUAACAUUGGGAUGGUUUGUUUCCUUGCAGUUCCUAAGGGUGAAUCGGAACCACUUGGGAGAAAGCCCCUGUGAUCAACUAUAUUUUUGACCGCAGGAUUUCCUUUUUAAUUUCUCCAGCCCAUACCCAACAGAUCAUCUUUGGAAAGUCACUUUACAACUGGCUGGGAUUAUCAGGACAUGGAAGUCCUCUGUCACAGCACUGCUAGGUGCAACAGACAAGAGACCUUAGAUGGCUUUCUACACGUGCCUCUAUUCCUGUGGCAUCUCAAGAAAGAAAAGCUCCAGCAGGAGACUGGUGUAGACAUCAGAGAUGAAAGGACAGUGUCUAACAACAUGCACUACCCAAAUGAUUCUGUACUUUUAUUAUUUACCUGGACUCCAUCUUGUUUAAAAAAAAAAACUGGGGAGGGAGGCUCUAGAGGGAGGAGACAUAUGUUUACCUAUGCUGAUCCAUGUUGAUGUAUGGCAGAAACCAACACAAUAUUGUAAUUAUACUUCAAUUAAAAAUAAAGUUUGAAAAAUUUGAGGAGGUUUACAAAAGUACAUUUAUAAUAUUAUAAUAUAUAAAUCCCAACAAAAAACAGGAUGCAUCAACAUGGAUGGACCUCGAGACUGUCAUUCUGAGUGAAGUUAAAUCAGAAGCAGAAAUAUCGUAUGACAUCCCUUAUAUGCGAAAUCUAAAAGGAUAUGAUACAAAUGAACUUAUUUACAAAGCAGAGACUCACAGACUUAGAGAAUGAACUUACAGAUACCAGUGGAGGAAAGGGGGGUAGAUAGAGGAAAGGGGGUUUGGGAUGGAUAGGUACACACUGCCAUAUUUAAAAUGGACAGAAAACCAAUAAGGACCUACUAUAUAGCACAGAUAACUCAAUGCUAUGUGGCAGCCUGGAUGGGAGAGGAGUUUGGGGGAGAAUGGAUACAUGUGUAUAUAUGGGUGAGUCCCUUCACUGUUCAUCUGAAACUAUCACAGUAUUGUUAAUUGGCUAUACUCCAAUACCAAAGAUUUUUAAAAAACAGUAAGGAAACUCAGUUAAAAAGGAAAGAAAAAUGAAAAUAUCCUUUUGAAAGAAUUGUAUAUAACUUGCCUGUUAUGAGAGUCUUUGUAGAUCUUUGAAGGCACUGACUAGCUUUGGCUCUGAGCCUCCUAAUGGCCAAAGCAAAGAGGACAACACAGCUUCCUGUGAAGCCCAUCUGGAGAGGGGAAGGAGGUCCUAUUAGGGCACGUUUAUUUUUUCACAAUGACUUGAGAAUAUUCUAUACAUCUAGUGGGUGGGGUCAGUAAGCCUAAAUAUCCUGCAGUACAUAACCCUCCAUAGCAGGGUUGUCCCAUCCAAAAUGCCAAUCACAUACCUUCGAGAAUGACUGACUUUUAUGAUUCAUCGAGUCUAAAAGCCAAAAAUUCAGACUAGUAAUUCAGGAGAAGCACUGAGACCAGAAGACACUAUCCUUCUGAGACCU